RNAcentral lists this transfer RNA (73 nucleotides) under Dunaliella salina. RNAcentral's name for it is "tRNA-Trp". It matches the Rfam family "tRNA". From Rfam's summary of the family: Transfer RNA (tRNA) molecules are approximately 80 nucleotides in length. Their secondary structure includes four short double-helical elements and three loops (D, anti-codon, and T loops). Further hydrogen bonds mediate the characteristic L-shaped molecular structure. tRNAs have two regions of fundamental functional importance: the anti-codon, which is responsible for specific mRNA codon recognition, and the 3' end, to which the tRNAs corresponding amino acid is attached (by aminoacyl-tRNA synthetases). tRNAs cope with the degeneracy of the genetic code in two manners: having more than one tRNA (with a specific anti-codon) for a particular amino acid; and 'wobble' base-pairing, i.e. permitting non-standard base-pairing at the 3rd anti-codon position. Lineage: Eukaryota; Viridiplantae; Chlorophyta; Chlorophyceae; Chlamydomonadales; Dunaliellaceae. The record is from RNAcentral.
GGAAAGGUAGCACAAUUGGCGGUGCGUUGGUUUCCAAAACCAAAGGCUGGAGGUUCGAGUCCUCUUCUUUCUG